Molecule: ribosomal RNA, 526 nt
Filed under: uncultured bacterium
Lineage: Bacteria
Description: bacterial SSU rRNA
Rfam family: Bacterial small subunit ribosomal RNA
Source: RNAcentral
AUGGCUCAGGACGACGCUGGCGGCGUGCCUAAUACAUGCAAGUCGAACGGUCUUUUCUAUGGAAGCUUGCUUCCACUGAGAAGAUAGUGGCGAACGGGUGAGUAACACGUGGGUAACCUGCCCAUAAGAGGGGGAUAACAUCCGGAAACGGGUGCUAAUACCGCAUAGUUUUCUUGAUCGCAUGAUCGGGAAAGGAAAGACGGCCUUUGUGCUGUCGCUUAUGGAUGGACCCGCGGCGUAUUAGUUAGUUGGUGAGGUAACGGCUCACCAAGACGAUGAUACGUAGCCGACCUGAGAGGGUGAUCGGCCACAUUGGGACUGAGACACGGCCCAAACUCCUACGGGAGGCAGCAGUAGGGAAUCUUCCGCAAUGGACGAAAGUCUGACGGAGCAACGCCGCGUGAGUGAAGAAAGGUUUUCGGAUCGUAAAACUCUGUUGUCAGAGAAGAACAAGUUGGAGAGUAACUGCUCCAGCCUUGACGGUAUCUGACCAGAAAGCCACGGCUAACUACGUGCCAGCCGCUGC